AAAGCGCGCGUAGGUGGUUUAUUAAGUUGGGUGUGAAAUUCCCGGGCUCAACCUGGGAACUGCAUCCAAAACUGAUUCACUAGAGUACGAUAGAGGGAGAUAGAAUUCACAGUGUAGCGGUGGAAUGCGUAGAUAUUGUGAAGAAUACCAAUGGCGAAGGCAGCCUGCUGGAUCUGUACUGA
This 182-nucleotide ribosomal RNA is filed under the name uncultured bacterium. Its description in RNAcentral is "partial 16S ribosomal RNA". It matches the Rfam family "Bacterial small subunit ribosomal RNA", at positions 562 to 743 of the family's 1533-position model. The record is from RNAcentral.